UUACGGCCACAUCACGUUGAAACACCGGCUCCCGUACGAUCACCCAAGUUAAGCAACGUCGAGCCUAGUCAGUACCUAUAUUGGUGACCACUUGGGAAUACCAAGUGCUGUAAG
Acanthosepion pharaonis is the source of this 114-nucleotide non-coding RNA. The record is from the annotation of a GenBank genome assembly. Lineage: Eukaryota; Metazoa; Mollusca; Cephalopoda; Sepiida; Sepiidae.